This 254-nucleotide ribosomal RNA is filed under the name uncultured bacterium. RNAcentral's name for it is "partial 16S ribosomal RNA". It matches the Rfam family "Bacterial small subunit ribosomal RNA", at positions 524 to 776 of the family's 1533-position model. The record is from RNAcentral.
UACGGGGGGGGCAAGCGUUGUUCGGAAUUACUGGGCGUAAAGGGCUCGUAGGUGGCCAACUAAGUCAGACGUGAAAUCCCUCGGCUUAACCGGGGAACUGCGUCUGAUACUGGAUGGCUUGAGUUUGGGAGAGGGACGCGGAAUUCCAGGUGUAGCGGUGAAAUGCGUAGAUAUCUGGAGGAACACCGGUGGCGAAGGCGGCGUCCUGGACCAACACUGGACACUGAUGAGCGAAAGCCAGGGGAGCAAACGGG